CCUGCCCCUAGGCCUUGCAGGUGUGGCUAUUGUGUCACAUGGGGGUCAUUCAGUGGCAGAGAGGAGAGAGGCCAUGUCUAUGCUCAAUGUUCUGACCUGUUCGUAUGUUUCAUAUGAAAAGGUAAGCCUGAGAUG
Psammomys obesus (fat sand rat) is the source of this 135-nucleotide small nucleolar RNA. RefSeq annotates it as small nucleolar RNA SNORA17. The record is from RefSeq and is a predicted model, not a curated record. NCBI's taxonomy places the organism in Eukaryota, Metazoa, Chordata, Mammalia, Rodentia, Muridae. The transcript has a single exon.